RNAcentral lists this long non-coding RNA (2311 nucleotides) under Salvia miltiorrhiza (redroot sage). RNAcentral's name for it is "long non-coding RNA (SMIL_LNC012115)". Lineage: Eukaryota; Viridiplantae; Streptophyta; Magnoliopsida; Lamiales; Lamiaceae. The record is from RNAcentral.
UGAAUAGGCAAAGCCUGUCGUUUAUUCUUAACUCUGAAUUGGUAUAGCAGUGCUAGUCCUCACGAUCCACAAAGCCUACAAGAAAUCUAUAAUCUUAAUAGGUCUCCUGAAUCUAAUCUUAAGUCAUAGUGAAGUGCUUAAUAUUCUAUGAUUCAUUUAGCCGGUUUUCAAAAUUUAAUGAAUAAAUAAUUGAAAAUAUUUCUCUUGAGUUAAGAACACCAACAAUAUUCUUACUCAUCUUUCUUUAAUAAUUGAAAUUAUAAUAAAACCAAUUAAAUCAUAAAUAUUCUUAUUGCAAAAUAUAAUGCAAAUCAUGUCAUGCUUUACAUAUAAUAAGUAAUUACUUAAAAUAUGCACAUAAUAAUAAUAUAAUAUUAUUAUGAAAAUUAUCCUUUAAAUAAAUUAAUCAAACUAAUAAUAGUUCAAUUAAUUAAAAAUAAGAAAGCCCAAUUUAAUUAAUUGAAGGCAAAUUAAAAUCCUUAAAUAAAAUAAGGCCCAACAAAUUUAUUAAUUAAUAGCCCAACUGAAACAAAAAUAAAUAAAAUCUCGGCCCAAAUACUCAUAAAAAUCGGCCCAUGACUCGAGCCCACUCUAAUUAAAAUCGGCCCACAACUCGAGCCCACUCUAAUUAAAAUCGGCCCACUACCAAGCCCAUCACUCAAACCCAACCCCAAAGCCCAACCCUCACCAAGCCCUACCACCCCCACCCUCUUCUUCUCCCCCCAUAAAUCGCACAACACUCACACACACUUAGCAGCUGCGCAGCAGCACUCUUCUCUCCCUCUCUCGGCUCCCUCAAAUUUCCGCCGCCACGGCUCCUCCUCCGGCGACUGGCCGCCGCCCGCCGAAUCACCACAUCAUCUUCCUCUCUCCUUUACUUUGGUUCCACCAGACCCCCUUCUCCCUCAUCCUCACUUCACGCCAAACCCCCUUCUCCCUCAUCCUCACUCAUCAAACUGACUCGCCACCGUGGAGACUCGCCGGAGACGCAGCAGCGACGAGCCACCGCUACCAGCUUUCUCUCUGACAGUAGCCGAGCACAGCGGCACCUCCUUCCUCUCGAAUCCGGCGACCACAGGACAUCCAUGGCCGCCGCCUGAACUCCCUCCGCUGAACUCCGGCUGCCACGACCAGUAGCUGGUCGCCGCCCAUUCUCCUCUCCUCUGGUCAGACAACAACAGCCCCACGGUAACUGCUGCUGCUCUCGACCACCUCCAUCUAUCCUUGACAACGGCGAAGCGCCGCUGCCCCCUUCAAGUCCUCCGGCAGUCGCAGCGAGCGAGCUGCGAUACAUCUCUCUCCGCCCUUGGCCGAGCAGCAACGGCGAGUCACCGUCGUGCCCAGCCUCUCUCCAAAAUCUCGACUCACUCCCGACUCUCUUUCUCUAUGUGAGAACAGAGUACCACAGACAACCCUCAAUUUCCGGCAACCGCAACGAAGUCACGGCCGUGGCCCUUCCCGACUCGACACAGCAAGCAAAACUAAAGCUUAAUACUUUUCUUUCUUUCGUUUAUUAACUAGACUUGAAAACUAUUUAGUACUUGCUUAUGCACAUACAUGAAUGUAUAUAUAUAUAUAUAAAUAUAUGCAUAUAUCUGUGAGAUGAUGAAUAUGGAUUUGUUUCUCUGCUUUAGGCUCAAUUAGCACAGGAAGUAAACUAAUUGAGUUAGAAUUAUAACCUUUUGAUGAGGUUUCGGCUGGUGUUUGUUGUUGUAUUUGUUGUUGUUUACUAAGCUUCUGUGAAUGGAGUUCUGUGAAUGGAGUUGUACAAGAAUUUCAGAUGUUGCUUUAUUCAAAAAUUUGCAAGAGAGACAAGGAAAAAAAAAAAAUGAAAGAAUUUCAAAGUUCCAAACUUACAUGGGCAGUGGCGUUUUUUUUUUAGAGAGAGAGAGCUUGGAAGUUGCUGAAGGUUGUAAGAAUUAAAUUAUGAAAUUAUGAUUGCAGUUCUUACCUCUGCACUUGUUCCUUGGUAUGUAGGAGAAAUGGUGAGUGGAAGGGAAUGAGUAUUAUGGCUAAAGUUUAUUUUGGUGGGGGGCAAAGUAUGGUGUGAAGUGUGAGUGGGGAGAGUGGAAAGUGUGAGUGGGUAGUGAUGUUAACGUUGGUGGUGGAAGUAAUGAAUUGGUGAGUAGUGUAGCACCAUUGAUGAGUAGUGGAUUGAGGAUGAGAUAUGGGAGGAUUUUAUUAGUCUGCAUAAAUACAUGUAUGCUAAAAAUAAUCAUGAUAUAGGGUGGCUAUUAGGAACAUAAAUAAUAUAUCGGGACUGUAAUAAUACUUCAGGGUUCGAAAAAAAUAGCUCGUGAAAGAUUGCUAA